RNAcentral lists this ribosomal RNA (301 nucleotides) under uncultured bacterium. Its description in RNAcentral is "partial 16S ribosomal RNA". It matches the Rfam family "Bacterial small subunit ribosomal RNA", at positions 509 to 807 of the family's 1533-position model. The record is from RNAcentral.
CAGCAGCCGCGGUAAUACGUAGGUGGCAAGCGUUGUCCGGAAUUAUUGGGCGUAAAGGGCUCGCAGGCGGUUUCUUAAGUCUGAUGUGAAAGCCCCCGGCUCAACCGGGGAGGGUCAUUGGAAACUGGGAAACUUGAGUGCAGAAGAGGAGAGUGGAAUUCCACGCGUAGCGGUGAAAUGCGCAGGGAUGUGGAGGAACACCAGUGGCGAAGGCGACUCUCUGGUCUGUAACUGACGCUGAGGAGCGAAAGCGUGGGGAGCGAACAGGAUUAGAUACCCCCGUAGUCCCUGUCUCUUAUAC